UGGGGAAUAUUGGACAAUGGGCGCAAGCCUGAUCCAGCCAUGCCGCGUGAGUGAUGAAGGCCCUAGGGUUGUAAAGCUCUUUCACCGGUGAAGAUAAUGACGGUAACCGGAGAAGAAGCCCCGGCUAACUUCGUGCCAGCAGCCGCGGUAAUACGAAGGGGGCUAGCGUUGUUCGGAUUUACUGGGCGUAAAGCGCACGCAGGCGGACUUUUAAGUCAGGGGUGAAAUCCCGGGGCUCAACCCCGGAACUGCCUUUGAUACUGGAAGUCUUGAGUAUGGUGGAGGUGAGUGGAAUUCCGAGUGUAGAGGUUAAAUUCGUAGAUAUUCGGAGGAACACCAGUGGCGAAGGCGGCUCACUGAACCAAUACUGACGCUGAGGUGCGAAAGCGUGGGGAGCAAACAGG
This 404-nucleotide ribosomal RNA is filed under the name Actinomycetes bacterium. RNAcentral's name for it is "Actinobacteria bacterium partial 16S ribosomal RNA". It matches the Rfam family "Bacterial small subunit ribosomal RNA", at positions 355 to 776 of the family's 1533-position model. Lineage: Bacteria; Bacillati; Actinomycetota; Actinomycetes. The record is from RNAcentral.